CAGGGUCAAUGUUAUCAGCCAGUCUAUUUGCAAGCAUGUCUUCAGAAGGAAUGAUUAACCCCCAACAUUUUUCUGCCUUUCCUUCGUAAAGCCCUUCAAGAAUAUCACAGCUCCCAAGGUUGCACAGAGUUGCUGGUAAUCCUGUUAACCUUUGGGUUAAUUAAGUAAACUGGAAUCCUUCAUUAGGAGGAACAGCACUAAUUGCAUAUCCCAGACGAGCUGGACUCCCACGGUGCAUCUUACACCUGCUGCAAGCCCCAUGUCAACCCAGGCUCCAGAGGACAAUGACUCCAUCUUUCAGGAGAGACCCGGCAUUGGGCAGGAGGGCUGGGAUUUCCCUUAGAUCCUUACUCUGACCAGUGCUUUUUAUCCUUAAUAUCUCAAGGUGAGCUGGGUCAUCAUCACACAACUGCCAGCCUGGUGACACCUUGGAACAUCAGCAUUAUCUCCACAGGCCUCACUGCUGGAUAGGAGCACCUCUACAGAAAUAACUGCCCCAAAGAGCCGAGUGAGAUUCCGGUGUUGGUGUGGUGCCUUGAUA
Molecule: long non-coding RNA, 541 nt
Organism: Strigops habroptila (Kakapo)
Lineage: Eukaryota; Metazoa; Chordata; Aves; Psittaciformes; Psittacidae
Exons: 3
Source: RefSeq, a predicted model, not a curated record